UCACGUCGUCCGAUGGAGCCCAGCUUGCUGUCGGAUUAGUGGCGAACGGGUGAGUAACACGUGAUAACCUGCCCUUAACUCUGGGAUAAGCCUGGGAAACUGGGUCUAAUACCGGAUAGGAGCGUCCACCGCAUGGGGUGUUGGAAAGAUUUAUCGGUUUUGGAUGGACUCGCGGCCUAUCAGCUUGUUGGUGAGGUAAUGGCUCACCAAGGCGACGACGGGUAGCCGGCCUGAGAGGGUGACCGGCCACACUGGGACUGAGACACGGCCCAGACUCCUACGGGAGGCAGCAGUGGGGAAUAUUGCACAAUGGGCGCAAGUGAUGCAGCGACGCGCGUGAGGGAUGACGGCCUUCGGGUUGUAAACCUCUUUCAGUAGGGAAGAAGCGAAAGUGACGGUACCUGCAGAAGAAGCACCGGCUAACUACGUGCCAGCAGCCGCGGUAAUACGUAGGGUGCGAGCGUUAUCCGGAAUUAUUGGGCGUAAAGAGCUCGUAGGCGGUUUGUCGCGUCUGUCGUGAAAGUCCGGGGCUUAACCCCGAUCUGCGGUGGGUACGGGCAGACUAGAGUGCAGUAGGGGAGACUGGAAUUCCUGGUGUAGCGGUGGAAUGCGCAGAUAUCAGGAGGAACACCGAUGGCGAAGGAGGUCUCUGGGCUGUAACUGACGCUGAGGAGCGAAAGAUGGGGAGCGAACAGGAUUAGAUACCCUGGUAGUCCAUGCCGUAAACGUUGGGCACUAGGUGUGGGGACCAUUCCACGGUUUCCGCGCCGCAGCUAACGCAUUAAGUGCCCCGCCUGGGAGUACGGCCGCAAGUAAAACUCAAAGGAAUUGACGGGGGGCCCGCACAAGCGCGGAGAUGCGGGAUUAAUUCGAUGCAACGCGAAGAACCUUACCAAGGCUUGACAUGUUCUCGAUCG
This 917-nucleotide ribosomal RNA is filed under the name Micrococcus luteus. RNAcentral's name for it is "bacterial SSU rRNA". It matches the Rfam family "Bacterial small subunit ribosomal RNA", at positions 57 to 998 of the family's 1533-position model. Lineage: Bacteria; Bacillati; Actinomycetota; Actinomycetes; Micrococcales; Micrococcaceae. The record is from RNAcentral.